AUGGAUGGUAGAGAGCUUUCUUCAGUCCAAACAUAGGUUGUGGUAAGAUUUAAUUAGCUGCUGACUCAUUCAUCCAAAUGUUGAGUGAAGUUAAUUAAUGAAUACUAUACUCAUCAAAUGACUGAAUGAUGCGGGAGACAAAUUGAAUCUUAAGCUAUCUCUACUUGGACUGAAGGGAGCUCCCUUUCCAAAUUCA
RNAcentral lists this microRNA precursor (196 nucleotides) under Trifolium pratense (red clover). RNAcentral's name for it is "pre miRNA MIR159". It matches the Rfam family "MIR159 microRNA precursor family". Lineage: Eukaryota; Viridiplantae; Streptophyta; Magnoliopsida; Fabales; Fabaceae. The record is from Rfam by way of RNAcentral.